Molecule: ribosomal RNA, 2494 nt
Filed under: Streptococcus suis
Lineage: Bacteria; Bacillati; Bacillota; Bacilli; Lactobacillales; Streptococcaceae
Description: partial 23S ribosomal RNA
Rfam family: Bacterial large subunit ribosomal RNA
Source: RNAcentral
GGUUAAGUUAAUAAGGGCGCACGGUGGAUGCCUUGGCACUAGAAGCCGAUGAAGGACGUGACUAACGACGAAAUGCCUUGGGGAGCUGUAAGUAAGCAAUGAUCCAGGGAUGUCCGAAUGGGGGAACCCGGCAGGUAAUGCCUGUCACUCACUACUGUUAAGGUAGUGAAGAGGAAGACGCAGUGAACUGAAACAUCUAAGUAGCUGCAGGAAGAGAAAGCAAAAGCGAUUGCCUUAGUAGCGGCGAGCGAAACGGCAGGAGGGCAAACCGAGGAGUUUACUCCUCGGGGUUGUAGGACUGCAAUGUGGACUUAAAGAGUAUAGAAGAACUACCUGGGAAGGUAGGCCAAAGAGAGUAAUAGCCUCGUAUUUAAAAUAUUUUUUAUACCUAGCAGUAUCCUGAGUACGGCGAGACACGCGAAAUCUCGUCGGAAUCCGGGAGGACCAUCUCCCAACCCUAAAUACUCUCUAGUGACCGAUAGUGAACCAGUACCGUGAGGGAAAGGUGAAAAGUACCCCGGAAGGGGAGUGAAAUAGAACCUGAAACCGUGUGCCUACAACAAGUUCGAGCCCGUUAAUGGGUGAGAGCGUGCCUUUUGUAGAAUGAACCGGCGAGUUACGAUAUGAUGCGAGGUUAAGUUGAAGAGACGGAGCCGUAGGGAAACCGAGUCUUAAUAGGGCGGAUUAGUAUUAUGUCGUAGACCCGAAACCAUGUGACCUACCCAUGAGCAGGUUGAAGGUGCGGUAAGACGCACUGGAGGACCGAACCAGGGCACGUUGAAAAGUGCUUGGAUGACUUGUGGGUAGCGGAGAAAUUCCAAACGAACUUGGAGAUAGCUGGUUCUCUCCGAAAUAGCUUUAGGGCUAGCGUCGACAUUUGAGAAUCUUGGAGGUAGAGCACUGUUUGGAUGAGGGGGCCAUCUCGGUUUACUGAUUUCAGAUAAACUCCGAAUGCCAAUGAUUUAUGGUCGGCAGUCAGACUGCGAGUGCUAAGAUCCGUAGUCGAAAGGGAAACAGCCCAGACCACCAGCUAAGGUCCCAAAAUAAUUGUUAAGUGGAAAAGGAUGUGGGGUUGCACAGACAACUAGGAUGUUAGCUUAGAAGCAGCUAUUCAUUCAAAGAGUGCGUAAUAGCUCACUAGUCGAGUGACCCUGCGCCGAAAAUGUACCGGGGCUAAAACAAUUUACCGAAGCUGUGGAUAACACUUUAGUGUUAUGGUAGGAGAGCGUUCUAUGUGUGAAGAAGGUAUACCGUGAGGAGUGCUGGAACGCAUAGAAGUGAGAAUGCCGGUAUGAGUAGCGAAAGAUGGGUGAGAAUCCCAUCCACCGUAAGACUAAGGUUUCCAGGGGAAGGCUCGUCCGCCCUGGGUUAGUCGGGACCUAAGGAGAGACCGAAGGGUGUAUCCGAUGGACAACAGGUUGAUAUUCCUGUACUAGAGUAUGAAGUGAUGGAGGGACGCAGUAGGCUAACUAAAGCGGGCGAUUGGAAGUGCCCGUCUAAGCAGUGAGGUGUGAUAUGAGUCAAAUGCUUGUAUCUGUAACAUUGAGCUGUGAUGGGGAGCGAAGUUAAGUAGCGAAGUUAGUGACGUCACACUGCCGAGAAAAGCUUCUAGCGAUGUAUCAUACUCUACCCGUACCGCAAACCGACACAGGUAGUCGAGGCGAGUAGCCUCAGGUGAGCGAGAGAACUCUCGUUAAGGAACUCGGCAAAAUGACCCCGUAACUUCGGGAGAAGGGGUGCUGGCUUAAAGUCAGCCGCAGUGAAUAGGCCCAAGCAACUGUUUAUCAAAAACACAGCUCUCUGCUAAAUCGUAAGAUGAUGUAUAGGGGGUGACGCCUGCCCGGUGCUGGAAGGUUAAGAGGAGGGUUUAGCGCAAGCGAAGAUCUGAAUUGAAGCCCCAGUAAACGGCGGCCGUAACUAUAACGGUCCUAAGGUAGCGAAAUUCCUUGUCGGGUAAGUUCCGACCCGCACGAAAGGCGUAAUGAUUUGGGCACUGUCUCAACGAGAGACUCGGUGAAAUUUUAGUACCUGUGAAGAUGCAGGUUACCCGCGACAGGACGGAAAGACCCCAUGGAGCUUUACUGCAGUUUGAUAUUGAGUAUCUGUACCACAUGUACAGGAUAGGUAGGAGCCUACGAAGUCGGGACGCCAGUUUCGACUGAGGCGCUGUUGGGAUACUACCCUUGUGUUAUGGCUACUCUAACCCGGAUAGGUUAUCCCUAUCGGAGACAGUGUCUGACGGGCAGUUUGACUGGGGCGGUCGCCUCCUAAAAGGUAACGGAGGCGCCCAAAGGUUCCCUCAGAAUGGUUGGAAAUCAUUCGCAGAGUGUAAAGGUAUAAGGGAGCUUGACUGCGAGAGCUACAACUCGAGCAGGGACGAAAGUCGGGCUUAGUGAUCCGGUGGUUCCGUAUGGAAGGGCCAUCGCUCAACGGAUAAAAGCUACCCUGGGGAUAACAGGCUUAUCUCCCCCAAGAGUUCACAUCGACGGGGAGG